This 419-nucleotide ribosomal RNA is filed under the name Entamoeba histolytica. RNAcentral's name for it is "bacterial SSU rRNA". It matches the Rfam family "Eukaryotic small subunit ribosomal RNA", at positions 1047 to 1452 of the family's 1831-position model. The record is from RNAcentral. Lineage: Eukaryota; Evosea; Mastigamoebida; Endamoebidae.
CUAGAUCUGAGUAUAUCAAUAUUACCUUGUUCAGAACUUAAAGAGAAAUCUUGAGUUUAUGGACUUCAGGGGGAGUAUGGUCACAAGGCUGAAACUUAAAGGAAUUGACGGAAGGGCACACCAGGAGUGGAGCCUGCGGCUUAAUUUGACUCAACACGGGAAAACUUACCAAGACCGAACAGUAGAAGGAAUGACAGAUUCAGAGUUCUUUCAUGAUUUAUUGGGUAGUGGUGCAUGGCCGUUCUUAGUUGGUGGAGUGAUUUGUCAGGUUAAUUCCGGUAACGAACGAGACUGAAACCUAUUAAUUAGUUUUCUGCCUAUAAGACAGAAAUGUUCGCAAGAACAGGUGCGUAAGUACCACUUCUUAAAGGGACACAUUUCAAUUGCCCUAUUUUAAUUGUAGUUAUCUAAUUUCGGUU